RNAcentral lists this ribosomal RNA (232 nucleotides) under uncultured fungus. Its description in RNAcentral is "partial 18S ribosomal RNA". It matches the Rfam family "Eukaryotic small subunit ribosomal RNA", at positions 40 to 274 of the family's 1831-position model. The record is from RNAcentral. Lineage: Eukaryota; Fungi.
AAGAUUAAGCCAUGCAUGUCUAAGUAUAAGCAAUUUAUACAGUGAAACUGCGAAUGGCUCAUUAAAUCAGUUAUAGUUUAUUUGAUGGUAUCUUGCUACAUGGAUAACUGUGGUAAUUCUAGAGCUAAUACAUGCUUAAAAGCCCCGACUUCCGGAAGGGGUGUAUUUAUUAGAUAAAAACCAAUGGGUUUCGGCCCUUCAUGGUGAUUCAUAAUAACUUCUCGAAUCGUAU